UUUUUUCUAUUUUAUUAGACUGAUAUGCCAUCGUUGAGAAAAUGGUGGUGUAUCAUGCUGAUUGAAAAUCUUGACCUUGGAAGCCAUGGCAAACCCUUUGCCCACUGGACUGACACAUCUAAGGCUCUUCUUCGGGGUGAGGUGCCACCAGUUUUUAAACUGAAGAAGAGAAGGCGAGAUGAAAUUCAUGAGGGGCCACUUGACAACAUUGUGGCUGGAGUUGCCUGGCUGCGUCAAAAUGCAGGUUUGCUCAGGGGGAAGGUGGUCGAGCCCGCAUUUCCGAAUAUGGACGCUAAAGAACAGCAGGAGCUCCUGGAAAGGAUACGUUCUUCAACUGAUGAAGAAGAAAAGUACCCCCUGCUCUUCACAUUUGAUUUUCAGGAAGAUAUGGAAGUCUUCCUAAACAUGGCAGCUGAGGAGGAUCUUCGGGUCAACGCCAUGUUUCUGGGUCGCUGGGUGGACAGCCAGUGACAUUGCUGUGUGUGUGUGUGUGUGUGUGUGUGUGUGUGUGUGUGUGUGUGUGUGUGUGUGUGUGUGUGUGUGUGUGUGUGUGUGUGUGUGUGUGUGUGUGUGUGUGUGUGUGUGUGUGUGUGUGUGUGUGUUGAGGUUCUGAGUUCAGUUAUCUGUUGAGUGUUCUUAAUAAAGUGUUAUAACGUUUACAAUGUAUUGAUUUUUUGUAUGACUUAACUUAUUCACUUUGGUUACACACAGAGCUAAGUUUAAACACAGACUUGAGUUUGUCGUAUUUAAAUAUGGGCAAAUAAUGUGGUCCAGCAGUACAAGGUAAGACAAUAUUAUAGACAAUUAGAGCCAGAUAUUAAAUGAAUGAUGGUUCAGAGUAAGAAUUUAGGAAUGCAAAAGUGCUAAUAACAUAUGAUAAAUUAUGUUGGAAUGCAGUCGAACCUCAUGAUAUUAUGACAACAGAAUGUAACAUAGCUAGACCUAAUAUAAAUAUGUCAGAA
RNAcentral lists this long non-coding RNA (962 nucleotides) under Gadus morhua (Atlantic cod). RNAcentral describes it as "lncRNA (ENSGMOG00000028871.1)". Lineage: Eukaryota; Metazoa; Chordata; Actinopteri; Gadiformes; Gadidae. The record is from RNAcentral.